UACGUAGGUGGCAAGCGUUAUCCGGAUUUAUUGGGCGUAAAGGGAACGCAGGCGGUCUUUUAAGUCUGAUGUGAAAGCCUUCGGCUUAACCGGAGUAGUGCAUUGGAAACUGGGAGACUUGAGUGCAGAAGAGGAGAGUGGAACUCCAUGUGUAGCGGUGAAAUGCGUAGAUAUAUGGAAGAACACCAGUGGCGAAAGCGGCUCUCUGGUCUGUAACUGACGCUGAGGUUCGAAAGCGUGGGUAGUAAACAGG
This 253-nucleotide ribosomal RNA is filed under the name uncultured bacterium. RNAcentral's name for it is "partial 16S ribosomal RNA". It matches the Rfam family "Bacterial small subunit ribosomal RNA", at positions 524 to 776 of the family's 1533-position model. The record is from RNAcentral.